Molecule: long non-coding RNA, 950 nt
Organism: Marmota flaviventris (yellow-bellied marmot)
Lineage: Eukaryota; Metazoa; Chordata; Mammalia; Rodentia; Sciuridae
Source: RefSeq, a predicted model, not a curated record
CCUGCGCUGAAUAAACCCAUCUCUGGAUGACCUUGUGUGCUCCCUCACUUUCAUACUUAGGGUGGUUGGGGUCUUUCAUUAAUGCCGUGACUCAGAUUGGGCUCCCCUCACCCUCACUAGGUGAGGACCCCAAUCCGGACUCACCCCCACCGGCCCCAACUCGUCCCCAGUCCAUUUCCUUGGUUGCAGGACCCAUAUCCACCACGGGUCUUCAAUUGCCCCUGUAAUUGUGGCCUGUGUGAUCUAUGGAGGAGAGGAAUGACUUUGGGACCCCCAGCCAGGGAUGCUUCCGGUCCUUCGUGGAGGUGAUUCAGGAAGAUGCAUGGCUGUUCCCUGAACUCCUCAUCGUGUCCAGCUGGGAGCAGGCCCUUGAAGAACUAUGGUUACAAGGCACCUUCAUAGACUUCCCCCACAUCCCGAAAUCACCGGCUUUGGCAGGCGUCUACUGAUUUGGCUGAUAUUACUCACUGACUUAUUAACUUCUCUAUCCAGCCCUCUGCCCCCAACACUCCUCCUCCUACCCCACAAUGCCCCUGACUCAGCAGGAAUUAGCCAGAGGACUCGGUGUCCCUUACAUUUUAAUAAAUCAAAAAGGGAGGAAUGUUGGGCACAGAAUGAGGACAGGGCCAGGCCACCACCCCACAAUGGCCGCCGCCCCUAGGGCUCUAGGCUUCCGGCUUCUUCUUCCUGAUUAGGAGGAAAAGUCCACCAAAAGAGCCCCCCAAAAGACCGGUCACCUGCCCAGGAGCCCAAUAGGAAAUUAACAACAGGAACUUACCAUCACCCGGCCAAUUGUAACCACGCACAUUUCCCUCAGGGGCUAUGUAAGUCCCUAAACCACGCUGCUGCUGCUGCUGCUGCUGCUGCUGCUGCUGCUGCUGCUACUGCUGCUGCUGCAGACGCUUCCACCUCUACUGUAGCCUGCACUGAAUAAACCCAUCUCUGGACGA